GUUAAUGUAGCUUAAUUUUAAAGCAAGACACUGAAAAUGUCUAGAUGGGCAAGCAUAACCCCAUAAACA
RNAcentral lists this transfer RNA (69 nucleotides) under Saguinus midas (Midas tamarin). RNAcentral describes it as "tRNA-Phe". It matches the Rfam family "tRNA". From Rfam's summary of the family: Transfer RNA (tRNA) molecules are approximately 80 nucleotides in length. Their secondary structure includes four short double-helical elements and three loops (D, anti-codon, and T loops). Further hydrogen bonds mediate the characteristic L-shaped molecular structure. tRNAs have two regions of fundamental functional importance: the anti-codon, which is responsible for specific mRNA codon recognition, and the 3' end, to which the tRNAs corresponding amino acid is attached (by aminoacyl-tRNA synthetases). tRNAs cope with the degeneracy of the genetic code in two manners: having more than one tRNA (with a specific anti-codon) for a particular amino acid; and 'wobble' base-pairing, i.e. permitting non-standard base-pairing at the 3rd anti-codon position. Lineage: Eukaryota; Metazoa; Chordata; Mammalia; Primates; Cebidae. The record is from RNAcentral.